Molecule: ribosomal RNA, 460 nt
Filed under: uncultured bacterium
Lineage: Bacteria
Description: partial 16S ribosomal RNA
Rfam family: Bacterial small subunit ribosomal RNA
Source: RNAcentral
CCUACGGGAGGCAGCAGUGAGGAAUAUUGGUCAAUGGGCGUAAGCCUGAACCAGCCAAGUCGCGUGAGGGAUGAAGGUUCUAUGGAUCGUAAACCUCUUUUAUAAGGGAAUAAAGUGUGGGACGUGUCCUAUUUUGCAUGUACCUCAUGAAUAAGGAUCGGCUAAUUCCGUGCCAGCAGCCGCGGUAAUACGGAGGGUCCGAGCGUUAUCCGGAUUUAUUGGGUUUAACGGGUGCGUAGGCGGCAUUUUAAGUCAGCGGUGAAAGUCUGUGGCUCAACCAUAGAAUUGUCGUUGAAACUGGGGGCCUUGAGUAUGUGUGAGGCAGGCGGAAUGCGUGGUGUAGCGGUGAAAUGCUUAGAUAUCACGAAGAACCCUGAUUGCGAAGGCAGCCUGCCAAGCCAUGACUGACGCUGAUGCACGAAAGCGUGGGGAUCAAACAGGAUUAGAUACCCGUGUAGUC